UCUGUGACAGUAACUGGUUUGUGAAGAGGUGUUGUCCAUCUGUUUUUUUGUGAUUCUGUAAUCUAUAGCUAAACAGGUAAAUUCGGUUUCCUGUCUGGGAGAGAUGAACACCGAGGUUUUCCUUAUAUCUCUUUUGAAGAUACAGACAUCUGGGAUAUAGACAUUCACAGUGGAUUCUGAUGGUUUGAGGAACUUAAGUGUGUUGGUGAAAAAUCUGUGGGUAAUUCACCUAUAGAAUGGGAGCAGCUGUAAAAAAAAAAUAAAAAAUUGACUUCUGCUUGAUGCCAGUAAAUUUCUGAUUUGACUAACAGGUUGAUCCUAAGCAAUACUGAGAAGAGUUUUGCAACAUACGUUUUUUAGAAAUUAUGUUUAAUAGAGGCAAAGAGUGUUAUGAGUUAUCUUCUGUCACAAGUGACAUGAUUUUUAUAUCUAUUUUUAGAAAUGUACAUACAGAUUUUAUUUGAAGUUAUUGCAGAGUAUGUUUUCUUUCAUUCCUCCUAAUAGCAGGGUCUUCAAAAUCCAUUGAAACAUCAUCUUUAACUUUUAAAUUUGUAGCAUCACAGGAAAAGGUAUAUUUAACUAUUAGUCCCAUUGCAUGUAUUCAUAGGAGGAGCUUUAAAUGGCAGAACCAGCAGAAAGAACUUCAGACUUAAGAAACAUUUGAGUAUAUGUAUUGUAUAUAAGAGAAGAUAUUAGUUGGUUCAUGUUGACAGCCUCUAGGGACUUGAUAUGGGAUCAGGAUGCCGCCAUGCUUGUGGUUUUGGAACUGUGAAAGUGUGUACCAUUCUACAACUGUAUUAUGUGUUUUGAUACUCCUUGAAAAAUACUGGGAAAAAAAAAUCAACUGUUCCCUGAAUAUUCAAAACAUCCCUUUAAAAUAAGGGAUAUUCACAUGGUUAUCUUUCCCAUCUUUUUAGUUUACCAUGUUUUAGUAUUUCCUUAGAAUGAAAUCAAUCUGUGAAGCUGUGUUAAAUCAGCUUUUUAGAAGUGGCUGAUACUCAAAAUGCAUGUGUAGAAAUGGCAGCACAGUCCGAGCAGAUGAUGAACAACAUCAGUUGAUGUAUUGCCCUAUAACAAAAGAAGGGAGGUGAAGCCAGCUAGUUGGAAAAAGUAUUGUUUCAUCAGAGUUCGGUAGGUGUUUCCUCAUUUUCUCUCAUUUGUCUUCUCUCUUUUUGGAAAAAAAAUCAUUUUAUUUUCUGAAAUGGGAGAAGAGAAUUGACAGAGUACUUCACCUUUGUCUUUGGCUCUAAUUCAGCAGAUGAGAUAAUAACUUAAAUGUACCGUAUCCCACAAGUGUCAUGCACAACUAAAUGUGUUAGCUCUAUUUAGUCACGAUAUCCUAAAUGAGAUAUGCUAACUCAUGCAGCAGUGAGUUCAGCACAGGGUUUUACCUGCCCAGUUUUAGCUCUUUCCAAAAGCAGUACGAGUAUGUACGAACACCUUAAUGAACCCUGGGCUCAAAGGUGCAGCACCUUCUCUAACCAAGAGUACCAUUUGCGUCAGCAUGGAAAUUGGAGCCUAACAAUAUAAAUUUUGCUAUUUCCUGCUGGUUUUAAUAAUUCCAUUUGCACAAAACCCCAUUCAGAUUUCUUAACAAUAUUGUGAAUUUCUCCAAAGGGAAAACAGGAAUUAUGUUGUGGUUACUUGUAUAGUAGUUUGGUCGGUUUUGCUUCCUGGACUCUUCUCUCUUACUUGGGAAUUGGUUAACAGUAUGUUCUCUUCUGAAAUUAGAUUAAGAAAAUACUUUUCUAAGAGAAAGUCAUUUGGCAUACUGUGGGGUUUGUUUCUGCCAAAGUAUAGCUAGAUACGGCAGUUGACAGAGUUUCUUUUGAGGUUACUUUGCUACUACAGUUGUUCUAGGAAGUUUUGUUUCUUUUCUUUUUCUUAGCAUUUAAACAAGUCCCCCCGGUGCGGGGGGGAUUAUCCCCCCUGGGGAAUAUCUGAUUAUCCCAAAAGCAAAGACUGUUUAAGUCAAGAAAUGCUCUUUCUAAAGAACCUUUAGUUCUGCUGUGGCUCUCUUACUUGGGUAGUAGCUCCUCUACGUUAAUCUGUUGUCUGAGCCAAAAGGAACACAGGCUGCUGCUGGACACAAGGAAGAAAACCCCUUUGUAGCAGAGCUGAUGGCCCUCAAAGAGAUGGAGUCCUGCUGGAGGGGUGAUCCAAGCUUUCAGACUGUGCUCCAAAACUAUGCAUUUGCUUUUUCUUCCUCAGCUGCUGAAUUCUGCUGCUUUCAGUCUCAUCUGGCAAGGAACAGAGCCACAUAAACAUCUAAAUCAAUGGUCAUCACCUUCCCCAACCAUUAUUUUGAGGGUGCAACUGCAUUUAAGGAAUAGCCAUUAUCUAACAGCAGAGCUGAGCAGUGUUGGCUUGCAGAAGGAUAAAGUCUGUCCAGAUGUGCUGCACUCAGCUGGAAGGAGAGGAUGAGCCUUAGAUCUCUAUAUCCCUUGAAAGGGGGGAGUUGAGAAUGGAAAAGAAUCAAGUGUGUAUCCCAGGAAUCUUUUGUCCAUCCCUUGGGAGAGUUUUGGUCAGUGCAAAGCUUAGCAUAAGCUGGAGUCCUCUAAGUCUUUAUGAAAGCAAACAGAGCUGUCAAAUUGAAAAUGUUUUCAGCGUGGAGCACAAGCCUACUCCUUUCAAACCUCAUCAAAAUUAACUUGAGAACACUUUUAGAAGAAGAGAAAUGCUGCAGAGAAACAGCUGCAGCGUGUUUGAUCCUCCUUUCUUUUGUGGGACCUGUGGAACUGUCAAAGCUUAGAUCUCUGAAAGGUUACUUGUUCAAGGAAAAUGUCUACAGCUCAGCAGUGACCUGGAACAAAUUCUCCAUCAUGAGGGGAAAAGAAUGCUGACUAAAUGCCUUCCUAAUGAGAGCAAAACAGAGGGAACCUGAGACAAAUUCAGAACCUGAGUUACAAAGCAGGAGAACCAGCGGGGAAAGUGAAGCAAUAGGAGCUUCGCAAGAGGCAGCAGAAACCCGCCCUGAGUGCAUUUGCCACACAAAGCUGUUGAAAUGUUGCUCCCUUUCUAGGGAUAAUGCAGCAGCCUUUUUAAUGAUGGUUGUUGCAGAUAAUGUGGCAGCUGUGAUGAAAUAUAACCCAGGCAGUGAAGCAGAGAGAGCUUCAGACUUAUUGGAGUCUAAGAGAGGAGGGACAAGCACCAGACAGGUUAAGUGACAUGCUGAAAAGAGCUGAAGGACAUCCAGUAAUGAGAAAGGUAGAAAAUUAUAUAGAAAAAUUGAAGUAAAUAAUGGGCCUCAAAAACAUUUUGAGAUUUUUUUCCUAAUAAAACUUUCCAGAUUCACAAGAAGUUUUGUGAACCAGAGCAUUCCACGAGCCAGUUAAUUCUGGAAUAGUGUAGUAUGCUAUGACACAAAAGUCCCUAAAGAAUUUUUAAAUAAUUGGGAUUAUAUUCAUCAAUGGACAUUUCAGGGAAAUAAACAGUUUUUUCCUCUUAUGAGGUAAAAUAUUUAUGCUUGUAUACUUAUGGUCUCGUGUCUUCCAGAAGAUUUCUCUGACACCUUGGACAGAGUUCUCAGGGCUUCUUCCACUGCCAUCCCAGCUUCUUGCAGUCUAAAGGACAGAUUUCCAUGCAAUGUUCUCAUUUUUCAUGCCUUCUAAUAGAAAACUGAACUCACCAUUGGAAUGCAUUGAAAAUUUGUGGUGGGACUGAAAACUGGCUUGAAGGUUUAAGAUCUUAUGAACCUUUGUGCUUCACUUGUUUUUACUGUGUAAAAAAUGUAAUGAACGUGGUCCAGCUCAUAGAGUGGUAAAAAAUUUUACUACAUUAAUGUGUAUAUACAGAAGUAGCAGAAUUGAACAGGUCAUAAAAUAUUGUUUGACUUUCUAAAUAGUGCAUUAAUUUUAAAAUCAUGAAGAGCAUGGAUAUAAUGUCACAAUGCUUUUCCUUCUAAUGCAUAGCAAAUUGUGGAUUUCACUUCAGCUAUUCCAGGCAUCCUGAAAUCUUGGUAGUUUUAUAAGUUUUAUUAUUCAUUAUUUAUUAUUUAUUAUUAUUCAUUAUUAUUUAUUAUUCUCAACUAUAAAUUCAGUUAAUUUUCCUGUCCCGAUGAACUAUGAAAAUUGGCAGGGCUUUCAGGUAGAUAUGAAAUACACAUUUAACAGAACUCGGGAUCAGGCCAAGAUUGAAACAAUAUCAAAAGCAAAAUAUUUCCAAUCACAGGCAUUAUAGUAUGACUACUCAAGUAUUUACAUUUUGUUUUACUGUAUAGAAUAAAUUUUAGUAACUUGUAUUCAAGAUGGAGAAAUGGAUUAUGGGAUCAAAUUUCAGCAUAUAUGAUCUUGCUCACAUGAACUUUUUGCAAGUUGGUGUGAUGCUGAAUUUGCCCUUCUGCUCAAUCCAAAUAUUAGUCAUAAUUUCCAUAGUGUGUAAAUGUUCAUGUGAAUGAUAACAUUUCAUUCCCAUCAUAUGUCAGCUCAUGUUACUGCUUUGGGAAUAUCUAUUGUAACUGUUAUCCUUUCGUACACUGUGCUGUCGUCACCAUCGCUGUGGCUAAUCCACUACUAUUUGGCAAGAAAACUGUUUAUCCAUUCUGUGUUAGAGUAGAUAGCGGAAGUCAAAGCUGGAAGAGGAGGCACAAAAUGUACAUUGUGUUUGUUUUCCAGCAUAUUAACAUGCUAGCUGAGCUAACAUGGAGGAGAUGACCAAGUGUUUUGGGUAUUAGACUAAUUUUGUCAUGGGGUUUGAUGGCAUACUACCAGAUAAACUACAAGGAUACUGUCACCAGGAGUAGCAGGAUAGUAGUAAAGACCAUGUUCCUGUAGAUUUGAUAACUAACCUGCACUUUUUCUGUAGUUUGUUGUGUGAAGAAUCACUUACACCCUGAAUACUAACCUUGAUCAACUUGAAUUGCUGCAUUAAAGUAGGAAUGUUUAUGGUUCAGUGUCAAUUUCCUCCACUUUUGACAAUCUUUGUUUUGGCUGCUAAUGGCUCAUACAGCAGCUGUUUUUGAUACCACAAGCCCCAAUGUUGCAUAGAGAAAGAAACAAGCCAAGGGUCAUCCCAUCUGAGGAACAACAGAAGAAAUAUUUACCCCAUACCCUUACUUCUUUUGAGUUUGAGGUUGUUUGGUUUCUUCCACUCUGUUUUUCAGAGUAUGUUAGUUUAUUCUAUUAGGUGUUUAUGCUAGGAAAAAAAACAAACCAAAACUAGUUGCUCUAUCCACCCUCAGGAAAAAGAGAGACAAGAAAAUUAUCACGGGAAACUUAAUCUGUCUGUCUCUCCAAAAGCUGAAUUAGCAAGUACAAAAGAAUGGACUAAAUCUUGUUGCAACUCAUAUAACUAUUUAACUACUACUUUAAAUGCAUUGCUUCCAUUUGAUUCUUAACUAAGAGCUACUCACCAUACUCUACCUCCUUGUGUUCUUGCUGAUUAGCAAGAAAUCAUACAGCUCAGCUGUGACUUUGUUCAAUAUUUGUGCAUUUGCCAAUUUUUGAAUGAGUUUUCCCCCUCAACUAAGUGUGUCUGUCUUGUCCAGCUCAGCCCUGUGAUGGCAACGGUUUUCAGUCUGCUGUGUUCUAGGUAGUUCUUGGGAAGAUGCACUAAGCAUUUCUUAUUCUCAAACAGAAGCAAAGGGAAGAAAAGCCAAACACCCCCCAAACCAUCAAGGUCUUUGCUGUAAAGGCAUAGUUAAUAUUAAAAAAAUUAGGAGAGAAUACUUCUUGCAGCCUGAUUUCUGACAUUGUCUGUGUGUUUGACAGUAGCCUUCAUGUCACUGAGCACACAUGCUGCUUUGCCACCCCUGCCUCUCAGGGAUCCCCCAUCCCUGACUGCACAGGAGCCCACCAGCUGACUGUGCCUCUGUGCUGCCAGCGUGCAGCUAGCCCAGGAGUUUGUGCUUGAAAGCAGGCAGUGAUUGACUGUACCCACGAAGCAUUGAAGGAAAUGAAACAGCAGGAAGAACCAGAGUUUUAUCUUAUUUUUGUUUGGCUUGGGGUUUUUUUGUCCUAACUCUAAUAAGCAAGACUGACGUAAUUGCAAUCUGGGGAAGCAUACAGUAUUAUAUUCUAUUCCUGUGUUACUGAUUAGGAAUGAUGCAGAGAAUGAUGCAUGCUUAUGAAGAGGGAAUGUCUAGAGAUUUUACUAAAGGGUUUGACAAGGUUCACUGAGAUUAAUGUUGUGAUCAACAAACGGUUAUUUACUACUGCUCCUAAUAUAUUCCUUUCUGAAUUCAUUGUGCCAGCAUGUCACUGUCAUAUUUUCUGGAAAAAUCCCCUUGUUCAUGAUUUCUCUCCUGGGAAGCUGAGAGGCUUCAGGGGAAAAGGAAAACAAUAUUAUCCCAUUUGCUUCUCUUGCGUUUUUCUGGUUUGGAAUGUAGUUAGAGAUUGUUUAUGCAACAGGUAGUUGUUUCAUUGAUUUCAUUUAAAUUGUUUUUGACUUAUUGGCCAAGUACGGCCCAGCUAUAUCAAACUCUGGAGAGAGAGUCACGAAAUUCUUUAAUAUCUAUUAGCCUUCUGUCUAUAUAAUUUCUGUAUUCUUUAGUAUAGUUUAGUAUUCUUUUAUUAUAAUGUAAAUAACAGAAUAAUAAAUUAGCCUUCUAAAAACAUAGAGUCAAAUUCAUCAUUUCUUUCUUCAUCUGGGAGCCCCGCAAAUACAAGACCAGUAAGCAGCUGUGGAAAUAACAGGAACUUUUGUCUAGAUUCAGGCUUCUGUUGCAAGCUGUGCUGAAGCUUUUUCUCUUAAAAGAAGUUUCACCUUUUUAAAGCAAUGGAAAUGCAAGGCAAGUUCAAG
Molecule: long non-coding RNA, 6738 nt
Organism: Passer domesticus (house sparrow)
Lineage: Eukaryota; Metazoa; Chordata; Aves; Passeriformes; Passeridae
Exons: 5
Source: RefSeq, a predicted model, not a curated record